CUACACAUGCAGUCGAGCGGUAGAGAGAAGCUUGCUUCUCUUGAGAGCGGCGGACGGGUGAGUAAUGCCUAGGAAUCUGCCUGGUAGUGGGGGAUAACGCUCGGAAACGGACGCUAAUACCGCAUACGUCCUACGGGAGAAAGCAGGGGACCUUCGGGCCUUGCGCUAUCAGAUGAGCCUAGGUCGGAUUAGCUAGUUGGUGAGGUAAUGGCUCACCAAGGCGACGAUCCGUAACUGGUCUGAGAGGAUGAUCAGUCACACUGGAACUGACACACGGUCCACACUCCUACGGGAGGCAGCAGUGGGGAAUAUUGGACAAUGGGCGAAAGCCUGAUCCAGCCAUGCCGCGUGUGUGAAGAAGGUCUUCGGAUUGUAAAGCACUUUAAGUUGGGAGGAAGGGCAGUAAAUUAAUACUUUGCUGUUUUGACGUUACCGACAGAAUAAGCACCGGCUAACUCUGUGCCAGCAGCCGCGGUAAUACAGAGGGUGCAAGCGUUAAUCGGAAUUACUGGGCGUAAAGCGCGCGUA
This 528-nucleotide ribosomal RNA is filed under the name Pseudomonas migulae. RNAcentral's name for it is "bacterial SSU rRNA". It matches the Rfam family "Bacterial small subunit ribosomal RNA", at positions 49 to 573 of the family's 1533-position model. Lineage: Bacteria; Pseudomonadati; Pseudomonadota; Gammaproteobacteria; Pseudomonadales; Pseudomonadaceae. The record is from RNAcentral.